CCAACAUCUCCUCGAAAGCAAAAAAUAAUUCAAGGAGCAAUGCUGUGACGAUUCGCUCUUUUUAUACACAAGGGCUAUGUAUAUAUAUGAUCUUUGUUUAGCUCCAGCUCGGUUUUAGAUUGUAGCGGAAGUUGGUGGACAAGUCCUAUUUAAGCCGAAUCAGGUUCUUGGCAGGUGCUCUAAUUCCAGUCUCUUCAUCGUCUGUGAUCGCAAUCCUAGUGGGAAAAGCGAGAUCGGCAAUGGUCACCUCUAGUCGUCCAGAUCCUCCCUCCCUUUCAACUAUAAAAGCCACCACAAGAAGAUUAAUCUUAUAUCAAUGGAACGAAGAAUGGUCCAUCUGUACUUCCGGCUGUCUCACUAGAGAAUUCUUCCCCUCUAUCCAAUCCGCUCUUACGCUGAACAAACUCAACCCCUCUUUUGAAGUUAUGCAAGUGUAACCUGUUAACCCCCCACAGCUUCUUCAUCAGUUUCGGCUUCUUCUACGUUCAGCAGCAUCGAAGAAGGUUGAACUGGAAU
Molecule: long non-coding RNA, 516 nt
Organism: Daphnia pulicaria
Lineage: Eukaryota; Metazoa; Arthropoda; Branchiopoda; Diplostraca; Daphniidae
Exons: 3
Source: RefSeq, a predicted model, not a curated record